GUGCCAGCCGCCGCGGUAAUUCCAGCUCCAAUAGCGUAUAUUAAAGUUGUUGUGGUUAAAAAGCUCGUAGUUGAACCUUGGGCCUGGCUGGCCGGUCCGCCUCACCGCGUGCACUGGUCCGGCCGGGCCUUUCCCUCUGUGGAACCCCAUACCCUUCACUGGGCGUGGCGGGGAAACAGGACAUUUACUUUGAAAAAAUUAGAGUGCUCCAGGCAGGCCUAUGCUCGAAUACAUUAGCAUGGAAUAAUAAAAUAGGACGCGCGGUUCUAUUUUGUUGGUUUAUAGGACCGCCGUAAUGAUUAAUAGGGACAGUCGGGGGCAUCAGUAUUCACCUGUCAGAGGUGAAAUUCUUGGAUCAGUUGAAGACUAACUACUGCGAAAGCAUUUGCCAAGGAUGUUUUCAUUAAUCAGGAACGAAAGUUAGGGGAUCGAAGACGAUCAGAUACCGUCGUAGUCUUAACCAUAAACUAUGCCGACUAGGGAUCGGACGGUGUUAUUCAUGACCCGUUCGGCACCUUACGAGAAAUCAAAGUGCUUGGGCUCCAGGGGGAGUAUGGUCGCAAGGCUGAAACUUAAAGAAAUUGACGGAAGGGCACCACCAGGGGUGGAGCCUGCGGCUUAAUUUGACUCAACACGGGGAAACUCACCAGGUCCAGACACAAUAAGGAUUGACAGAUUGAGAGCUCUUUCUUGAUUUUGUGGGUGGUGGUGCAUGGCCGUUCUUAGUGGUGGGGUGACUUGUCUGCUAGUGCGAUACGACGAGACCUUACCUGCUAAAUAGCCCGCAUUGCUCCGGCAGUGCGCUGGCUUCUUAGAGGGACUUUC
Molecule: ribosomal RNA, 825 nt
Filed under: uncultured fungus
Lineage: Eukaryota; Fungi
Description: SSU rRNA
Rfam family: Eukaryotic small subunit ribosomal RNA
Source: RNAcentral